Molecule: ribosomal RNA, 463 nt
Filed under: uncultured bacterium
Lineage: Bacteria
Description: bacterial SSU rRNA
Rfam family: Bacterial small subunit ribosomal RNA
Source: RNAcentral
ACUCCUACGGGAGGCAGCAGUGAGGAAUAUUGGGCAAUGCCCGGAAGGGUGACCCAGCAACGCCGCGUGGAGGAUGAAGGCCGUAAGGUUGUAAACUCCUGUUAGAGGGGAAGAAAAAUCCCGAUCGAAUCGGGAACUGACUGUACCCUCAGAGGAAGCCCCGGCUAACUACGUGCCAGCAGCCGCGGUAAUACGUAGGGGGCAAGCGUUGUCCGGAUUCACUGGGUGUAAAGGGCGCGUAGGCGGGUUAGCAAGUCAGAGGUGAAAUCUCCCGGCUCAACCGGGAAACUGCCUUUGAAACUGUUAAUCUUGAGUGCGGAAGAGAGAGACGGAAUUCCAGGUGUAGCGGUGAAAUGCGUAGAUAUCUGGAGGAACACCGGUUGCGAAGGCGGUCUCUUGGUCCGUAACUGACGCUCAGGCGCGAAAGCGUGGGUAGCAAACAGGAUUAGAUACCCUGGUAGUC